UACGAAGGGGGCUAGCGUUGCUCGGAAUCACUGGGCGUAAAGGGUGCGUAGGCGGGUUUUUAAGUCAGAGGUGAAAUCCUGGAGCUCAACUCCAGAACUGCCUUUGAUACUGAAAGUCUUGAGUAUGGGGAGAGGUGAGUGGAACUGCGAGUGUAGAGGUGAAAAUUCGUAGAUAUUCGCAAGAACACCAGUGGCGAAGGCGGCUCACUGGCCCAUUCUGACGCUGAGGCACGAAAGCGUGGGGAGC
RNAcentral lists this ribosomal RNA (247 nucleotides) under uncultured bacterium. RNAcentral describes it as "partial 16S ribosomal RNA". It matches the Rfam family "Bacterial small subunit ribosomal RNA", at positions 524 to 769 of the family's 1533-position model. The record is from RNAcentral.